The submitters of this non-coding RNA (135 nucleotides) gave its source as unclassified sequences. The record is from Rfam.
UCGAUGAAACUGAACCUUUUCGAUGGGAUGCCAUUGAAAACGAACCGGCUAAUCUUCUGUAAUGCUAUUAUGAGGAUUGCCCUUUGAGGCUUAUAGCAAUAGGUCGCCCUAUGGUCGGUUACAUGCUUUUGUUGA